RNAcentral lists this long non-coding RNA (379 nucleotides) under Spirodela polyrhiza (greater duckweed). RNAcentral describes it as "long non-coding RNA (SPOL_LNC001386)". The record is from RNAcentral. Lineage: Eukaryota; Viridiplantae; Streptophyta; Magnoliopsida; Alismatales; Araceae.
GAGAAUAUCCCAGAGGAGAGGGGCUCCUGCUCCGGCUUGGGAGAUCUUGAAUUAGAGGAGAGGGACGGGGGUGCUGAUAUUGCUUUGAAGGAGGUCGACGAGCCUUCUGUGGACGUGGGGCUUCCCUCUCCGAUGAAGGUAAACCUGGAACAGGCAGUAGAAGGCAGCGGAAUAUCAGAGCCUGACCUCGAUGGAGGCGGUCAAACUGAGGAGAGGAGACCUGUCUCACCGAGGGAAGGCCUGGAAAAGUUCGAGCAAGGCAGGAGAGGAUCAGAGAUUAUUGCUGCAGGAGAUGGCGGAAUUGAUGGUCGCCUUGACUUACACAGCGAGGAUUCGGAACUUCUGGUGUCGGAGGAUGAGGAUGAGGAUGAGGAUGAGG